Molecule: ribosomal RNA, 503 nt
Filed under: uncultured bacterium
Lineage: Bacteria
Description: bacterial SSU rRNA
Rfam family: Bacterial small subunit ribosomal RNA
Source: RNAcentral
AGAGUUUGAUCCUGGCUCAGAUUAAACGCUGGCGGCAUGCCUUACACAUGCAAGUCGAACGGCAGCACGGGGGCAACCUUGGUGGCGAGUGGCGAACGGGUGAGUAAAGCAUCGGAACGUGCCCUGGAGUGGGGGAUAACGUAGCGAAAGUUACGCUAAUACCGCAUAUUCUGUGAGCAGGAAAGCAGGGGAUCGCAAGACCUUGCGCUCUGGGAGCGGCCGAUGUCGGAUUAGCUAGUUGGUGGGUAAAGGCCUACCAAGGCGACGAUCCGUAGCGGGUCUGAGAGGAUGAUCCGCCACACUGGGACUGAGACACGGCCCAGACUCCUACGGGAGGCAGCAGUGGGGAAUUUUGGACAAUGGGCGCAAGCCUGAUCCAGCCAUGCCGCGUGAGUGAAGAAGGCCUUCGGGUUGUAAAGCUCUUUCGGCCGGGAAGAAAUCGCAUGGGUUAAUACCCUGUGUGGAUGACGGUACCGGAAUAAGAAGCACCGGCUAACUACGUG